Molecule: transfer RNA, 87 nt
Filed under: Celeribacter halophilus
Lineage: Bacteria; Pseudomonadati; Pseudomonadota; Alphaproteobacteria; Rhodobacterales; Roseobacteraceae
Also listed under: 2 other names
Description: tRNA-Leu
Rfam family: tRNA
About the family: Transfer RNA (tRNA) molecules are approximately 80 nucleotides in length.
Source: RNAcentral
GCCCGUGUGGUGGAAUUGGUAGACACAGGGGAUUCAAAAUCCCCCGCUGUAACAGGCUUGCCGGUUCGAGUCCGGCCACGGGUACCA